ACGGAAGGCAGCAGUGGGGAAUAUUGCACAAUGGGCGAAAGCCUGAUGUAGCGACGCCGCGUGAACGAAGAAGUAUUUCGGUAUGUAAAGUUCUAUCAGCAGGGAAGAAGAAUGACGGUACCUGACUAAGAAGCACCGGCUAAAUACGUGCCAGCAGCCGCGGUAAUACGUAUGGUGCAAGCGUUAUCCGGAUUUACUGGGUGUAAAGGGAGCGCAGGCGGUAUGGCAAGUCUGAUGUGAAAGCCCGGGGCUCAACCCCGGUACUGCAUUGGAAACUACCAGACUAGAGUGUCGGAGAGGUAAGUGGAAUUCCUAGUGUAGCGGUGAAAUGCGUAGAUAUUAGGAGGAACACCAGUGGCGAAGGCGGCUUACUGGACGAUAACUGACGCUGAGGCUCGAAAGCGUGGGGAGCAAACAGGAUUAGAUACCCUGGUA
RNAcentral lists this ribosomal RNA (435 nucleotides) under uncultured Roseburia sp. RNAcentral's name for it is "partial 16S ribosomal RNA". It matches the Rfam family "Bacterial small subunit ribosomal RNA", at positions 341 to 792 of the family's 1533-position model. The record is from RNAcentral. Lineage: Bacteria; Bacillati; Bacillota; Clostridia; Lachnospirales; Lachnospiraceae.